UAAAAAAGUCUACGUGGUAGGGAAGGAUUGAAACACAAUGCAAAAAAAUGCAUACUACUGAGCUUUUGAACAAAUUGGAAAGUAAGUUUCGGUUUAGUGUAUAGAUCCCUUAAAUCCUGGGUGAAAAUGGCAUAUGAAUGCUUGCGUUUAUAUUUAUGUUUGAAUUUUAGGAAAACCAGAAGAUAUGUUACCUCAGAUUCGGAGGAAGACAUGGUUACUGAUGAAGAAUCAGUGCCACGUCCUCCACCUCUACCAACUCUUCUCUCAAUGAUGACAUCUGGUCAGAAAGGCUCUACUCCACAAGGCAUGCUUAUUUUUGACAUCUGAGGAGCCAUCGACAUUGACUACGACCCACCAAGCCCGGACAUCCACACCUGCUCAGACACGGACAGUAAAAACUGCAGCCAGGACACCCAUAUCCCCCGUACCAGCAACAACCUCCCUCAACCAAGAGAAUGGUAUGCAAUACCUACCGGGUAUUUGACUCUGACAAGACACUACUCCGAUCUCAAGAUACAGAAAACCCAAUUUUUAUUUAUAUUCCUUUUUUUAAAUACAUUUCAGCAACUGUGUGCUUAAUCGUCAAGCUCUUGACCGAGCUGAAAACAGAUAUGUGCAGCAUUAAAAAGCAACUCCAUCAGCUGUCUCGACAACUCAGUGAGACCAAUCAAGUGGACGAUGAGUUUGUAAUGCCGGAUGGUUUGGUAUUUCCAAUGGAUACACUCGAUGAACUGACUUCACUAGAAAAAAAAUCUGGAGACAGACAAGGAGCUAGAGAGGCACCUGGUCGUGUCAUGGGCAGCUUGCGGUGGAAGUACCGUAUACAACUGCCUCAACCUCAUCUUUGAUAAGACCAUUACCAACAGACUCGCUCGUCAAAUUAACUGGACGGGACAAUGUGGGAAGAGAUCGUUCAAGUCUCUACGGAUGAGGGCUGUUAUAGAGAAAUCCAUCAGAAAGAACCCGCCUACAAAAUAUGCGACGGAAGCAGAUGUACAUCCGUAAGUGAAAAACGUUUUUUUUUAUUUUAGUAUUUUGUGACCCCAAGUUGACUUUACAUGUAUCUCAUUGAGAGUUAAUUUACAUAGGGCCUAGUGAGCUUCUUACCAUCACGAAGCCUACAAACCCGCCA
Long non-coding RNA from Patiria miniata (bat star), 1132 nucleotides. RefSeq lists it as uncharacterized. The transcript is spliced from 3 exons. The record is from RefSeq and is a predicted model, not a curated record. NCBI's taxonomy places the organism in Eukaryota, Metazoa, Echinodermata, Asteroidea, Valvatida, Asterinidae.